UACAGAGGGGGCAAGUGUUGUUCGGAAUUACUGGGCGUAAAGGGCGCGUAGGCGGCCUGCUAAGUCGAACGUGAAAUCCCCGGGCUCAACCCGGGAACUGCGUCCGAUACUGGCAGGCUUGAAUUCGGGAGAGGGAUGUGGAAUUCCAGGUGUAGCGGUGAAAUGCGUAGAUAUCUGGAGGAACACCGGUGGCGAAGGCGGCAUCCUGGGCCGAGAUUGACGCUGAUGCGCGAAAGCCAGGGGAGCAAACGGG
RNAcentral lists this ribosomal RNA (253 nucleotides) under uncultured bacterium. RNAcentral's name for it is "partial 16S ribosomal RNA". It matches the Rfam family "Bacterial small subunit ribosomal RNA", at positions 524 to 776 of the family's 1533-position model. The record is from RNAcentral.